AGAGUUUGAUCAUGGCUCAGGACGAACGCUGGCGGCGUGCCUAACACAUGCAAGUCGAACGGACGAGGCCCCUUCGGGGACCGAGUUAGUGGCGGACGGGUGAGUAACGCGUGAGCAACCUGCCUUUCAGAGGGGGACAACAGUUGGAAACGACUGCUAAUACCGCAUGAUGCAGCGAGAUCGCAUGGUCUUGCUGUCAAAGAUUUAUCGCUGAAAGAUGGGCUCGCGUCUGAUUAGCUAGUUGGAGGGGUAACGGCCCACCAAGGCGACGAUCAGUAGCCGGACUGAGAGGUUGAACGGCCACAUUGGGACUGAGAUACGGCCCAGACUCCUACGGGAGGCAGCAGUGGGGAAUAUUGGGCAAUGGGGGAAACCCUGACCCAGCAACGCCGCGUGAAGGAAGAAGGCUUUCGGGUUGUAAACUUCUUUUACCAGGGACGAAGAACGUGACGGUACCUGGAGAAAAAGCCACGGCUAACUACGUGCCAGCAGCCGCGGUAAUACGUAGGUGGCAAGCGUUGUCCGGAUUUACUGGGUGUAAAGGGCGUGUAGGCGGAGCUGCAAGUCAGAUGUGAAAUCUGGGGGCUUAACCCUCAAACUGCAUUUGAAACUGUAGCCCUUGAGUAUCGGAGAGGCAGGCGGAAUUCCUAGUGUAGCGGUGAAAUGCGUAGAUAUUAGGAAGAACACCAGUGGCGAAGGCGGCCUGCUGGACGACAACUGACGCUGAGGCGCGAAAGCGUGGGGAGCAAACAGGAUUAGAUACCCUGGUAGUCCACGCUGUAAACGAUGAAUACUAGGUGUGGGGGGACUGACCCCCUCCGUGCCGGAGUUAACACAAUAAGUAUUCCACCUGGGGAGUACGACCGCAAGGUUGAAACUCAAAGGAAUUGACGGGGGCCCGCACAAGCAGUGGAUUAUGUGGUUUAAUUCGACGCAACGCGAAGAACCUUACCGGGAUUUGACAUCCUACUAACGAAGCAGAGAUGCAUUAGGUGCCCUUCGGGGAAAGUAGAGACAGGUGGUGCAUGGUUGUCGUCAGCUCGUGUCGUGAGAUGUUGGGUUAAGUCCCGCAACGAGCGCAACCCCUAUUGUUAGUUGCUACGCAAGAGCACUCUAGCGAGACUGCCGUUGACAAAACGGAGGAAGGCGGGGACGACGUCAAAUCAUCAUGCCCCUUAUGUCCCGGGCUACACACGUAAUACAAUGGCGGUCAACAAAGGGAAGCAAAGCCGCGAGGCAGAGCAAACCCCCAAAAGCCGUCUCAGUUCGGAUUGCAGGCUGCAACUCGCCUGCAUGAAGCUGGAAUUGCUAGUAAUCGUGGAUCAGAAUGCCACGGUGAAUACGUUCCCGGGCCUUGUACACACCGCCCGUCACACCAUGAGAGUCGGGAACACCCGAAGUCCGUAGUCUAACCCGCAAGGGAGGGCGCGGCCGAAGGUGGGUCUGAUAAUUGGGGUGAAGUCGUAACAAGGUA
RNAcentral lists this ribosomal RNA (1474 nucleotides) under metagenome. RNAcentral's name for it is "bacterial SSU rRNA". It matches the Rfam family "Bacterial small subunit ribosomal RNA". The record is from RNAcentral.